This is a long non-coding RNA of Fukomys damarensis (Damara mole-rat), 315 nucleotides long. RefSeq lists it as uncharacterized. The record is from RefSeq and is a predicted model, not a curated record. NCBI's taxonomy places the organism in Eukaryota, Metazoa, Chordata, Mammalia, Rodentia, Bathyergidae. The transcript has 3 exons.
UUGACAGGAGCUGGAGGCUGUGAGGGACGAAGAGGUGUAGUGUCACCUCGGCCGGCGGGCUGUGCUUGGCCACAAGGCUGAAUAUUUGCUGGACACCCUGUUUACCGUCUGUUCCCCCCCGCGGGAUUGCGGCGGCCGGCGGGAAGGGAUAUCGUCUGUCUCUCACUCACGUCCGGACCCUCAGUGCCCAGGCCCAAGAGAAUUCCUGAGGCUGGAGAUGGGCAGUGACCUCCGGCUGGGAAGCCCACGGCCAAGUGCACACCUGUCAUCCCGGCACUGGGGAGGCUGAGGCAGACUGGGUCAUCGAGAGUUUGA